RNAcentral lists this transfer RNA (72 nucleotides) under Nematostella vectensis (starlet sea anemone). It matches the Rfam family "tRNA". From Rfam's summary of the family: Transfer RNA (tRNA) molecules are approximately 80 nucleotides in length. The record is from Rfam by way of RNAcentral. Lineage: Eukaryota; Metazoa; Cnidaria; Anthozoa; Actiniaria; Edwardsiidae.
GUUUCCGUAGUGUAGUGGUAAUCACGUCUGCUUUACACGCAGAAGGUCCCCAGUUCGAGCCUCGCCGGAACA